RNAcentral lists this ribosomal RNA (209 nucleotides) under Alexandrium margalefii. RNAcentral describes it as "partial Bacterial large subunit ribosomal RNA". It matches the Rfam family "Bacterial large subunit ribosomal RNA", at positions 655 to 863 of the family's 2925-position model. The record is from RNAcentral. Lineage: Eukaryota; Dinophyceae; Gonyaulacales; Pyrocystaceae.
ACAAAAGGUACGCGGUGCGAAAGCGAGUCUUAAUAGGGCGUCAAGUCUGUCGGAUUAGACCCGAAACCGAGUGAUCUAGCCAUGAGCAGGCUGAAGGUGGGGUAACACCCACUGAAGGGCCGAACCCGAUAAUGUUGAAAAAUUACGGGAUGACUUGUGGUUAGGGGUGAAAGGCCAAGCAAACUCGGAAAUAGCUGGUUCUCCGCGAA